GUUGGAAUGGCCGAGUUGGUCUAAGGCGGCACAUUAAGGGUGUGGGUUUGAAUCCCACUCUCCACA
Molecule: transfer RNA, 66 nt
Filed under: Triticum urartu
Lineage: Eukaryota; Viridiplantae; Streptophyta; Magnoliopsida; Poales; Poaceae
Rfam family: tRNA
About the family: Transfer RNA (tRNA) molecules are approximately 80 nucleotides in length. Their secondary structure includes four short double-helical elements and three loops (D, anti-codon, and T loops).
Source: Rfam by way of RNAcentral